AAACAAUCUGACCUUUCUUAGGGAUUCUGACCCAACUGCAGUGGAAGACAGCUAAUAUCUUCCAGGAUUUUCCAUGAUUAAGGCAGAGAGGAUCCAGCUUGGGAGAGAGAAGCUGACAGCCCACAGCUGCCACCUCCCCAAGGGGCUGUGCUUUGUUUUGGGUUUUGGGAACCUGACCCCUGAAAUCCAGCAGCAAAGGCAGCCAGGCUGAUCAAACUGGAGGUCUCCCUGUCCUCUCAGCCCCACUGCUCCCCUCCCCUGGGCUCUGAAGAGCGCUGCCCUCCCUGCUCAGGGUUUCUGUCAUCCCUGCUGUUGACACACUGCUCAUGACCCAGAGCUGGCAUCACUCACAGAAGACUUUUGGAGGACAGCACUGAAGUGUUUGGGUUCAAUGGGACGGGGUGGCAAGGAGGGAAACAAAUUAGAGGCACAGGAGGGUGUCAGGUUCGGGUGAAUAAAUUCUUCAUCAUCACAGUGCCUGCACAACCAAAACUCUGUCAAAUAGAGACUGUCCAAGGUUUUUUUCUUCUCUUGCAUUGCUUUUCCUAUUUCCCUCUUGCUUUCUCAGAAAUAGAACAUGACAUUUAUUUUUAUGGACAGCAGGAUCUUAUGGCUAUUCCCCUGUGAUGGAGUAAUCUGAACACAAUUAUGUUCUGUUGACAAAAAGUGAUAAAAGUGUAUUGUGUCAACACUCUGAACUAACAGAUUUGUCAUCUGCUCUACUCCCAAAUAAUAGAAGCAGAAUUAUAAAAUGCUCUGACAGACUCUACCUUUUUCUGUGGUUAAAUAAACGCCAGCUCUGUGCUUCGUUACUAUA
This is a non-coding RNA of Taeniopygia guttata (zebra finch), 817 nucleotides long. Lineage: Eukaryota; Metazoa; Chordata; Aves; Passeriformes; Estrildidae. The record is from RefSeq and is a predicted model, not a curated record.